This 5472-nucleotide long non-coding RNA is filed under the name Homo sapiens (human). Its description in RNAcentral is "small nucleolar RNA host gene 14". The stretch from base 1993 to 2073 matches the Rfam family "Small nucleolar RNA SNORD115". The record is from RNAcentral. Lineage: Eukaryota; Metazoa; Chordata; Mammalia; Primates; Hominidae.
CUUGUUGCCCGGGCUGGAGUGCAAUGGCACGAUUUCAGCUCACCACAACCUCCACCUCCCAGGUUCAAGCAAUUCUCCGGGCUCAGCCUCCCGAAUAGCUGGGAUUACAGGUGUGCACCACCAUGCCUGGCUAAUUUUUUGUAUGAAAAAGCAGAAUCUUAUACAAUGCUCAAUUAAAAUCAGGGAGAGGAGAAAAAGAGUAGAAUACCAAAAAAGUAACAAAUUACAAGGUUGAUAUAAAUAGAAAACAAUCACAAAUACUGAGUAUACUAAUCUAAGUAUAUCAAUAAUCACUUUAAACAUCGCUUAAAAGACAGAGAUUGUCAGUGGAUUAAGAACAAGACCCAAAUAUAUGUUGUCUAUGAGAAAUGCACUUUAAAUAGCUGGGCAUGGUGGUGUGCACCUGCAGUCCUUAGGAGGCCAAGGCGGAGUGUCACCUGAGCCCAGGAUUUUGGGACUACAGUGAGCUAUGAUCAUGCCACUGCACUCUAGCCUGGUUGACAGAAUAAGACCUCAUCUCUAUAGAAAAAAGUAAGUAAAUCUACUUUAUAAAGGCACAAAUAUAUUCACAGUAAAGGAAUAGAGAAAGAUAUCCCAUGCUAACAUUAAUCAAAAUAAAGUGAAAUAGCCAUAUUAAUUUCAGACACAACCGACUUUAGAACAAGGAAUAUUAUCAGAGAUCAAAAGGGACAUUCCUUAAUGAUAAAGGGAUCAGUUUUCUAAGAAGACAUAACAAUCCUUAAUGUGUACGCACUGAACAGCAGAUCAUCAAAGUACAUGAAGCUAAAUCUGAUAGAACUGCAUAGAGAAAUAGAUAAAUUCACUCUUAGAGUUGGAGGCAUUGGCAUCCCUCUAUCAGAAAUGGACAGGUUUAGCAAGCAGAAAAUCAGUAAGGGCAUAACAUGAUCAAUCAUGAUCAAAAACUUGAUUCAGUCAACUAUAUGUAACUGACAUCUAUGGACCACUUUACCCAACAACAGCAGAUGACACAUUUUCUCACACACACAUGAAACAUUCAGCAGAAUAGACCACAUUCUGGGCUAGAAAAUGCACCUCAACAAAUUUAAAAGAAUAGAAAUCAUACAAAGUAUGUUCUCAGACUACAAUGGAAUGAAAGUAAACAAAAAUCACUAAAAAAGAUAGCUGAAAAACAUGAAAAUACUUGGAGGUUAAACAACAGACUGAAAUAACUGAAGGUCACAGAAGUCUCAAGAUAAAUUUUUAAAAUAUUUCAAACUAAAUGGAAUUGAAAGCACAACUUAUCAAAAAUUUAGGAACGCAACAAAGGCAGUGCCUACUGGGAAAUUUAUACCACUGAAUGUAUGUUAAAAAGAACAAAGAUCUAAAUAAAUAAUCCUUCCCAUUGGAAAGCUAGGGGGAAAAUUCAAAUUAAAUUCAAAGUAAGCAAGUAAAAGAAAUAAUAAAAUAUGAAUACAAUUCUGAGUGGCCUGAUAUCUGAUUUCUGGAAGCUGAGUUUUAUGUGGCUUUAGAAGUUUCAUGUUAUGAGUGUGAAAUGGCAAGUGACCAUGGCGAUUGCUUCUGAUAUGGCCACCUCAAUUACAUAGAGAAGGGAUGAUCAGUGGCAUCAUCCCAGUUCUGCAUGAUACCACACCAGUGAUUCUCCAAAGUCAAGAAACCUGUAUAUGUUGUCCUUGUGUUUGGUGAAUCUGUGGUCUAUAGACUACAUAAUGGGCUAUUUCUGGGGUACUGACCAUUUUGCUCCAUUAAGGAAAACCAUGCAUGAGCCAUAUAACUAUGGGAAACAAUGUUUUCCUUUUUGACACCUGGCCUACUCUCUUCUUAGGUGAGAGCAAAGGAAGAGCACCACUUGGCCUGCUGCACCCAGGGCAAUUUAUACCAUCCAGAUAUCCAGCACUGAAUAUGUAGCAACUCCAAUCCACCAUAGAACAUUAAUCUAUCUCUGAUAAGCAUGCUAAUAUCUAUGAUUCUGCCUUUGUGGGGAGAUGACUCCAUAGAUUAACCCCCUGGCUUGGGGCAAUAUGGAGAUGUUAUAUUGUCUUCGACAGGGAAGAUGACAUAAAAAUUAUGUUCAAUAGGAUUAUGUGGAGACUUAACAUAAGUGACAAACCUAAGACAAGAAGUUAGAAAUCCUUGUUUCUUUUAGGUGAAUAAUUUUGGAGCUUGAGAAAAAGACACCAUUGUGGCGAACUUGCUUUGCCAAACCCUGUGUAUGCAUUUUUGGGUAAACAACACAUUUUCAUCCUUUAAGCAUUGUUUCCAUUAUUUAUAAUUCCUAAUAGUAUGAGACAUUUAGGACUCAUUCCUUGGUUCUUCUUCUCUCAUUGUAUCUUUCAUUGUAUCUUUCAGUGCUGCAAGAGAUGCAAUCAUCCCAUUAAUGAAAGCAGAGUGACUGCCUUCGUCACACAUACAUUCAAAAUAGAUCACUAGGCUAGUGAUGAUUCUCUCUUAAGGCUAUUAUGUUUACUCAUUUAAAAAAUCUGGAUCUCAGUAUAGAUUUUCUUCUCAGUGAGUGACUGACCUAUCUGAUAUGAUGCUAUGACAAAAUCUUUACUUUUUACCUGAAUUUGGUGGGAUUGAAAGUUGAGAACAUAUUAAUUUAUUUUCUGUUUCACUUGAUUAAUAAUGCCCAAUCUAACAUGCAGUGUUCACUUGGGUACAUAUAUACAACUACAUCAAAUUUUUUCUUGUUUUACCUUAAAAGUGUUAAGAUAUUGUAAUGGUAUGGCCAGUUUACUCACUGGUAAACUUUUCAUAACAGAAAUAUCAUGCCAGUGGACACAAAUAUGUAACAUCAGUAAUUUGCUUUCCUCAUGAAACAGAGAACUGAAUAAGUUGAUGGGUAAACUAGUAUCUGAAUUAUAAACCCCAAAUAUCAUGUGACUUCAUCAUUUUCAGUAUAAUGAAAAUACAGGCUGUGAAUGCUUCCAGUUGGUCCUGAAAGGGCCUUUGAGGUGAGUAGGUUCACCAAAGCGGCAACAUAUGUGUCCCAGUGGGCAUUCUACUCCUCAGUAAGUGACUUGACAUUCUUUAUGGCUUCCUCAUGAUUAAAACAAGUCUUUUUAUUGAAAUUUUACUGAAAUAAUGAUGAAACAAUGUAAUAUUCUUUUCAUCUACAUAUAAGAGUAGACAUAGAUUAACCUCUACCUUUUUUUUUUUUUUUUUUGAGACGGAGUCUCGCUCUGUUGCCCAGGCUAGAGUACAGUGGUGCGAUCUCAGCUCAUUGCAACCUCUGCCUCCCAGGUUCAAGCGAUUCUCCUGCCUCAGCCUCCUGAGUAGCUGGGAUUACAGGCACGUGCUACCAUUCCUGGCUAAUUUUUUUGUAAUUUUAGUAGAGACAUGGUUUCACCAUGUUGGUCAGGCUGUUCUUGAACUCCUGACCUUGUGAUCUGCCCACCUCUGCCUCCCAAAGUGCUGGGAUUACAGGCUUGAGCCCCCGUGCCUGGCCUUCACCUCUACCUAUUAUAAUAUUUUCAUGUUAUUCCAUUUUGUCAUGUUUGUGGGUCAUUUGAUGAGGGUUCACAAUAUGAAAACUGGGCAUUUUGGCCAAGAUGCAUGUAAAUGAAUACAACUCCAUGUGCCCUGAUAACUGAUUUCUAGAUCCUGAGAUGCAAGUGGCUUCCAGAGUGUCUGUAUUUUAUGAAAGUUCAUAUACAGUAAACCAUGCUAAUUGUUACUGAUACAGCUUCCUUGAAUAUAUAAAGCGAUGAUUAAUGGGAUGUUUUGUUUCUGCAGAAAACCACUGAAUUGCUUCUCCAAAGCCAAGUGACCUGUAUGAUUUGUCCUUAUUAUAUUUUGUGAACCAGUGGACUAAAACCUUUAUAAUGGGUCAUUUUUUUAGUAUUGUCAAUAUUGCUCAAUUAACAAACAUGACUCAUAUACACAGGUGAGAUGUAGUUCUCCCUUUGACAUUUGCUCUACAUCUGUCCCUUAGAUGAUGAUAUGGAAGAAAAGCACUCUUUGGCCUGUUGUGACUGGGACAGUUGACAGCACCCAGGUGUCCUUUAAUGAAAAUGCUCUUGACACCAAUGCAUCCUAGCAUCACAGCUUCAGGAAGCCUUCUCAAGUGUGCAUGGGGAGUACUAUGUCUUUCAUCAAUAAUGAAAUCUUCUGAUUUGUAAGACAUGCUGCCAAGAGAUGUGCCAUUCUAUUAUAAAAGAUCAGUAGCUUCCUUUACCGACGUGUAUAUUCUAUCUAGAACAUUGAGCUAUGGAAGACUCCCACCUAAGGGAAUUAGUUUUACACCUUCAGAUAAAGACUGCUGAGAAGAGCACCCUCUGGUGUUGUCACAGAGGCAAGUGCUACCGCACAGGCAUGCUGCAGUGAAUUUAACUGAUCCUCUGUCCCUGCAACCGUUGUUUAAGGAUGCUAUUCUGAAAAGACUGUGGAGGAAGAAAACCCUUUACCCUGUUGUUCAGGGAGAAACUGACACCACUCAACUGCCUGGCACUGAAAAUGUGGCAUCCAGUCCACUUUACCAUCAGUGUUUAAGGAAACCAUCUCUGAUAAGGAUGACUGAGGAAGAGUACUCUUUGGCUUGUUGACACCAGCACAGCUGACACACCCAGAUAUCUGUUUGGUCUCCUGUGAACUUUCAACCAGGAUUUAAGGAUGCCACUCUGGUUAAAAGCUGAAACAACUUCAAGGAAACUUCAGGGAAAAGAGAAGGCCUGGAAUCUGAUCCUCCACUUCAGAGAACAGGGGUGGUGGAGUCUAUGGCCCUUCUCCUUGAAUCUGAGUGAAAUUAGUGAGUCUUUCAAUCCAAAGACUACAGUCAUACCUCAACUAUCUACAGAGGACUGGUUCCAGGACUCCCAUGGAUCCCAAAAUCCAAGGAUGCUUCGAAUCCCUUAUAUAAAAUGGCAUGGUAUUUGCAUAUAACCUACAUGCAUCUUCAAAUAUGUUAAACCAUCUCUAGAUUACUUAUAAUACCAAAUACAAUGUAAUGCUAUGUAAACAGUUGUUACAAUGUAUUGUCAAAGACAAGCUCUCCUUGCCAAUCCCUGACCAAAUGAGAGAUUCAUGAGCAAAAUAAAUAGUUGCUGAUAUUUAAGGCACUAAGUUUGGGGCAAUGUAUUACACAGCAAUAAAUAACUGGAACAGCAUAGUAAAUUCUAGUUAAAAAUACUAAACUACUAAGUUUUAGUUAACAUACAUGCUCAAGUUAAGGGUGUGGUAUACUAACAACUGCAACUUACUUUGAAAAGCAUAAAAAAAGACACUAGAAGAAGACAGGAUGGAUAGAUGGACAAGAUAGAAGACAAUAACAAAUAGAACAAAAUGUUGUGAAAUUAUAUUCUACAAUUAUUUUAAAGUCUGUGUGGUUUGAAAAAUUGUACGAUAAAAUGAAGAGUGAAAUAAAGACAUUUCCAUACAAACAAAAGCUGAAAGAUUUUGUAGCCAGUAGACCUAUACUUUAGAAAUGUUUAAGAAAUUUUUUCAAGUAAAAGGAAAAUAACACCAGCAACAAACUUGGAUCUACAAAAAGGAAUC